GCCGCUGUGGUCCAGAUGGAGACGACACCAAGAUACGGAGGCCCAGGUUCAAGUCCUGGCGGCGGUGCCA
RNAcentral lists this transfer RNA (70 nucleotides) under Bacteriophage sp. Its description in RNAcentral is "tRNA-Ser". It matches the Rfam family "tRNA". Rfam says of the family: Transfer RNA (tRNA) molecules are approximately 80 nucleotides in length. The record is from RNAcentral. RNAcentral also lists the same sequence under 1 other name.